UACGGGGGGGGCAAGCGUUGUUCGGAAUUACUGGGCGUAAAGGACUCGUAGGUUGCCAACUAAGUCAGACGUGAAAUCCCUCGGCUUAACCGGGGAACUGCGUCUGAUACUGGAUGGCUCGAGUUUGGGAGAGGGAUGCGGAAUUCCAGGUGUAGCGGUGAAAUGCGUAGAUAUCUGGAGGAACACCGGUGGCGAAGGCGGCAUCCUGGACCAACACUGACACUGAGGAGCGAAAGCCAGGGGAGCAAACGGG
Molecule: ribosomal RNA, 253 nt
Filed under: uncultured bacterium
Lineage: Bacteria
Description: partial 16S ribosomal RNA
Rfam family: Bacterial small subunit ribosomal RNA
Source: RNAcentral